UACAGAGGUCUCAAGCGUUGUUCGGAUUCAUUGGGCGUAAAGGGUGCGUAGGUGGCCAGGUAAGUCGGGUGUGAAAUCCCGGGGCUCAACCCUGGAACUGCACUCGAUACUGCCAUGCUCGAGUACUGGAGAGGAGACUGGAAUUUACGGUGUAGCAGUGAAAUGCGUAGAUAUCGUAAGGAAGACCAGUGGCGAAGGCGAGUCUCUGGACAGUUACUGACACUGAGGCACGAAGGCCAGGGGAGCAAACGGG
This 253-nucleotide ribosomal RNA is filed under the name uncultured bacterium. RNAcentral describes it as "partial 16S ribosomal RNA". It matches the Rfam family "Bacterial small subunit ribosomal RNA", at positions 524 to 776 of the family's 1533-position model. The record is from RNAcentral.